CCUGCCGGAAACAGUCUCUCGCGAUGUCUGGGCCGGCGGCGCUAGCUUCUUAGAGGACCGCGGGUCCUAGCGCGUUGUCCACCCAGUCUUGCUAUUUCCAAGAAGAGAAAACAAGACGCACAAAGGCUGCACUUCCCAUCGUACUGUUAUCAACCCUUCGUUAUGGAAAUCCCAGACAGGACUGACUGUUUCCCCAUCAUGAUCUUGAUGCCCAUUGCUCAUAGAAUCCCUCUUCUCUCUCUUCGGCUGGAUUCCUGGAGCUCGGCCUGGUGUUUGGCUGUGGAUCUCUGCAUCUGCUUCCAUCAGUUACUAGAGAAAGGCUCUAUGAUGACAGGAUAUUCAUUGAUCUGAUUACUAAGCAGCCUACAUAGAACCUUCCGGCACUAUGAAGCACUAUGUAUCAAGGAGAAUGUUUCCUGGUCAGUUCAAGGUGGAGUUCACUAUGUCCCACAUAUAAAGAUAUCCGAGAGGGGAGGUGCAGCCUGGGAAACUAUCACUAGACUACAGAGAUGGAAGCUCCAGAAGAAUUUGUGGGACUUCACAUCAGCUUUCAAGCUCUUCUUCACACAGAAUCACACUCAUAUGACUUCAUGAGGAUGUACUGGAAUGAAUGUGAUCCUUCAAAUUCUUGUGCUGGGUUCCUGAUCUCCAUGGUGAUGGCAUUAAGAGGUUUAAAUAACAGAGACUCAAGAGAUCUUUCCCCCUCUUCUGGUGGACACAGGGAAAUUGUGCCUCUUCAGACAGUAAAUCUGCUGGUACCUUAACGUUGGAACUAUGAUAAGUAAAUUGCUGCAGUUUAUAAAACCACUAGUAAAUUGCAUUGUCUUAUAGCAGUCUGAAAGAACUAAGAUACGUAUUUCUGGUGGUGAAAGUGAGGGACAAAAUUAGCAUGCCACAGGUAGUCACUAACAUAUAUAUUGUUAACUUUCAGAAUUGUCUUUGAUGAAAAUGCUAAGGGAAGACUUCAUAUUAAAUACAAGAAUAAACAACAGAUUAUCAGGUGUUUUAUGUGUAUCUUUGUGUGUGUGUGUGUGUGUGUGUGUGUGUGUGUGUGUGUGUGUGUGUGUGUGUCAUCUUGUUUUAGAAAGCAACCUAUCUAGGGAUCCUCUUUCAGUACAGCAAUUUGGAAAAUAUGGCAUUCUAGUAUUAUUUUUUUUAUCCCACAGGACUGCAAAAGCCCACAUUUAACUUUCUUUUCAGACUUAAGUUGCUCAGGGAGCUCCACUCUGCUUUCUAACACUCCCCCGUUUCCUGAUGAAUGGUCAUUUCCCUUCUUUGCUAAGUCCUAACAGUUUUUCAUGUUCUGCAAUUUUCUCUGUUAUAUAGCCCUAGGCAUAACUGGCCAUAAAGUCACAGACAAUAAUAAAGCCUUAGAUUUGGAAGGAAACAUAGAGAAUAUCCAAUCCACCCCCUCAUUUUAUAGUUAAAGAAAUUUAGUACCCAAGAGGGUAAAUAACUUUUUCAAUGUCAUCCCGUUAAUGUGUAGACUGGUCCAAAGUUGCCAAGGUAAAAAUUUUUUUGUGGGUAAAACUGCAGCUAAAACCAUUUUAAAAUGCAUACAUCGUUCCUUCUGUCUGCUUAAAAUAGCACAGUAAUGCAACCUACACAACCAAGUUUGGAAGCUACUACUUCUAAUCCUGAAAACACUGUUAUAUGAAAAACAGUGAAAUGAGAUAUGAUUUAUAGAUGCUGGUCUUAGGAUUUCUAUUUAAUUCUGGGUUGGCUAGGUCAGUCUAAAGAGAUUUCUUUUCUUAAUGAGUUUUCUAGAGAGUCAAUGGAAAAUAGACAAAUACAAAUACAGAAAACACAUCAACACAAGAAUCUGGCUUAAUAAUAUAUUGUCAUAAUUAAUUUCUGCUACUAUAAUAUCUAACAUUUUAUACCCACUCUUGUGGCAAAUUGACGCUCAGAUAAAAAAUUGUGAAUUACUCUUGGAUUCAGAAUCUAGGGCCAGUAAGCAUCCAGAGUAGCAGCUUCGAAUGCUACAGUAUCAAGGAAGGAUGUCCUGGUUGACAGAUUAAAGACCAGAAAGCUCUAAGACAGGGCUUCUUUAUGGACAUACUCUCUCUUGGGUUAGAAUUGUGCAAGAAAUGUAAGCAAAGACAUUUGAUAUUCAUAAAGAAAGGCCUCCAAACAAGUUUUUUUUAAAGAAUAACUAUUCAGAGAUAUUGUGCUCUGAACAUGUAUGUUCAGAAGUAUGAUCUGUCAGAACUGGAAAGAAUAUCCAAGGUUAUUUAAUAAAGGUGGAAUGUGGUUAAUAUUUGGGAUGUCUCUAUGACACCCCUCCUGGCAAGACUCAGGACUCUAUAUGGAAGAGGGGCAGAAAGAAUGUAAGAGCCAGAGAUGGUGCUUGACUUCAAGAAAAUAGCAGUUUUCAGACACAGCAGGGCAGAUGUACACAAGAACUCACAGAGAUUGACGCUAUGCACAAGACCUGCACAGUCGCAAGCCUGGCAAACUCCCAACAUGGAGGAGGGGAAGUGGCCAUGAAGUUGCACCCACAGCCAGGAAGCUAUUCACAACCGUUAGCUGUUGGCAGAGAAAAAGAUUGUUUUCUUCAAUGUAAUGCUGGAUGUAACAAUGCACUCCAGGGCAGGCCUCAUACUUAGGUUAGUCAGUCAAUACAAAGUGGACUCUAUUCUGUUUUUUUCUUUUCAUUUUUUAAGAGAGAAAGAACAUGAGAUUAGGUGGUAGCAAGGAAGGUGGGGGAUGAUCUUGAAGGAGUUGGAGAGAGGGAAAGAAUAGGAUCAAAAUAUUUUGUAUAAAAUUCCCAAAGAAGAAAAAUAUUAUUAAAAUAAGUCACAUACACACAGAGAAAAAGAGAGACAGAUGGAGAGAAACAAGGAGUGAAACACAAGGAGAGAGAAUGCAACUUGUCUGAGGUCAGACUUGAAGUUAGUAAUGGAGUUUGGACCCCAAGUUGGUACUUGGCCUUCUGGGUUUUAAGCCUGGCUUCUUUGGGUAAACUAGUAUCAAUUUUCUUUAUCAUACACAUAAUGUGGAAGGAUGACCACAGGGUGCCUCUUAUUUUUUUUUUCACCUAUAUGGCACGGCAGAACUAAAAAUACAACAUUUUAUAUUGAAAAUCAAAGGCUAAUCAGAGAAAGAGGCAGAGAUAGAGAGAUAGAUACAGAGUGGAGGGAACAUUCACACAGACAUAUAUGGGGAGGGGAGGAGAUAGGAAUCAGGUAAAAAAAAAAGAGAAGGAGGCACUGAAAUGUAAAAUGAAGAGAACACUGUCUUAGUAUCCCAAGUAUAAGAGCUUUAUCUUCAUAUGGAUCAAACCAGGAAGUGAUGUCAUCAGUAACAAGCACUCUAGUUGGUAUAAUGAGAAGCAGCAAAAAUGAAGACGGGGGCUACAGGGGUGGCGAUUCACUUUCUCACUCCCAUCUACCCCCACUUUGGGACAACAUAUUAAUCCCAUUGACAUCUGCCAAUACUGUCAGUAGUGUUGGCUUUUGAAUGAAGAGCAUAAAAUCCAAUGUGCUGAAGUAGCAAAUAUGGUGUUGGCACUGAUCAACAGUGCUACAGCAAAGUAGUAUUUGUGGUUUGUGAAAAACAGAUAAGCAGAGCAUGGAGUCAUUUCCAUUUUAGGUCUGCAGCAAACAUUUAACCCAAGUCAGGUUUCCCUGUGGUCAAGUAUAAGUAAGAAAGUUAGCUCUUAAUACUUACUACAGCAAAAAUGAUAAAAAAAUUUCCCUGAACUCCAAGAACAGGGAAAUAAAUUAUGUAAUAUUGGUAUGGUAGAACACUGUCAACAUUUAAAAUUAUGGCUUUUGAGAACUGUUAGCAGUAGUUUAGAAAUUUGCAAGGUAAGUGAAAAAGCAUGAUUCAGAAAUUGUAUCUGUUGAGUUGUAUGAAUUUUAUUAAAGGUAUUUUCAUUCACAUCAAACACUUGAAAACAGCAAUCAACUGUCAGUAAUGCCUCUGUUGUUGCUGGUGGCUUGUGAGCUCCUUCCUCCAGGCUGCAGUGUUGACUGCCUUUACUCAAGCUUGUCUUGUGCAAGCAGUCACAGAAUGUAGGUCCUGUCAUGUCCAAAGACAUUGUGUCACUCUGGUCAUCCCUGACUCCUGGCUCUUACCAUCUGUCUGCCCCUCUCUUCUGCAUUGGUUCCCAAGCCUUGUGGGGGUAGGGGUAGUGAUCUUGAUACCCUAAUAGUGGCAUAGCACCCCACAGAUAUUUAUUCUUUGCCCUUUCACUGGUUGUGCAUGUCCAUGUCAGCCACUGGCCACUAUACAAAGAAACUUGUCUGAGGUCUGAGGGGUAAACUGAUUGAUGGGUACAGAGAUAUGAAUCUAGAGGACAAUUUGAUACUUUGUCCAUUUAGUAAAAUAAUAGUAAUAAGUUCACCCUUGGGGCCUGUGAGCUCCCCAUGGGAUAGCUUCUUGGGGAGGAAAAUUCAGUUGUUUUUUUAUUUUAUUUUAGUGUAUGACCCAGUGUAGGUCAAUCGCACUCUGGCAGAUGCCCCUACAUCCAUGUGUAUAUGAGCAGUACAACUUGGAAUUGGUUUGUUAUAAAAAAUUAAAAGAGUACAUGGAAAUUGGGGGGAGUUGGAGAAAUCUGGGGUGGAUCGGGAAAGAGUUAGAGGGAGAAAUAGGAGAGUGAAUAUGAUCAAAAUUCAUUGUAUGCAUGUAUGAAAUUUUCAAAGGAUUAAUAAACAUAUUAUAAUUGAAAAAUACCUGAAAGAAAUACAUCAAAAUGUUGAUUUUUAUUACCUCCAGAUAGUAAUUAGAAGUGAUAUUAACUUUUUCUUUAUGUAGUAUUUUCUGAAUUGUGCUUAAUAAGCAUUAAUUUUACCAUUAGAAAAAUAUAUUUGAGACAGAAGACUAGUGAUUUCUCAUCCAACCCAGGCAGCAUAGUGAGAUUCUAUCUCAAAAAGAAAAAAACCCCAAGCAACCAACCAACACAUCCCAGCUUUGAGAACCAUGUUCUAAAUAACCCAAGUACUCAUGUUAAAGAAAAAUGUUGACAUAUGUUUACAUGAACUGCUUUUGUCUCAGUAAUGAAAGGGUGUGCAAAGAGCAAUUGUCCAUCAUCAAAAGGGCUCAGCAUGUAUGCUACUGCCACUUCAAAACUGUUCCCAUAUGUUGAUCCCAGUGUCCAUCAAAGUCAACUCUAUCUUGAGCAUCACACAUUGUCUUCAUCCACUGUCAGAGUUUUUGUGCCUUCUCUAGGGCCAAGAAAUAUGCAGCUAGAAUCUUUUACUCCAUGGCAUCAAUUCUACCCCCUCUUUUCAGCAGGCAAUCUCUUUCAGCAUGGAAGUUGCUGGUAAAAUUGAAGAGUGUUAAAUAGGUUAUUUGGAAAUAAAAGCAGACUGUCAGUACUGCUGCUUCCGUAGUAAUAUCAGAACCAAGCUUUGGAUCUGGACAGAAAUACACACAAGUAACUACUGCUGCUCUGACUGUGGUGUCAAAUGAUGGUUAUUCAUGAUUUCACUGAAUCCUGUGAUAUCAUAAUGUAUGCUAUUCUUUUUCUCUGUUCUCCUUCCUCCUUUCUUCAUUUGUUUAUUGGAUAUAUGGGAGCACAGGAGGACAACGAACAAGAACAUCCCACUCUCUAAGAGCACAUGGCUAAUGAAUGUUAGAUCUGAAGGUAGAAUUCAGAGACUGAUUCUGAAAUGUGCUUAUAUCAGUCGAGUCCAAUGGCUAUCAGAAUUGUUUAAUAUCAGUUUUACUAAAGAAGAAUUUUAAAAACAUAAAUUCCUAGCUCUCAUCUCUAGAAAUUAUAAAUUUUGUACUUCAGGAAUGGGACCAAAGAAUCAGGUUCAUGACACUCAGUGUUGCUAAACUUCUUCAACUUCUCAGAUAAUUUCUGAGUAACAAAGUGUAGGAAAUUACCUUAGCUGGAGACAUAGGUGAUAUGUGGUUGGGACUAAGGGUCCACGUUCUGGUUCCCAUUUCUCCCACCUCAUGCACAGUCAGUACAGUGGAGCCCCUCAUCAGCUCCACUCACCACUGCCAUCAUCCAUCUGAUUAAUACAGUUUGUGCACAUGUCAAGGGGGGUGGAAGAGGAGAGUACCUAGUGGCACUGGUUGGUGGUGUAGGAAUGCGGCAGACCUGUCAGAAACACUUUCCAGAUUCCGCAUUCUCUAAGGGAUAAUUUUUCUACUGGUAUUUUGAGAUCACAGAAUUAACUACCGACACUAGAACUGCCAUCUCCAAGGUGUUAAUGCUAGAAGUCACCCUCAGCUUCCUAGCGUGACAAGUGUUUAAUAAUAGCUGCUUUAAUGAAGUACCCCAUGAGUCGGUUUCUAGAACAAGCAGUCAAAUAGUGAUAAGAAAGGAAAAGCAAUCAAGCACAAAAGCAAAUGCGAUUUAGCAAGUAAAAAUAUUGGGGGGCAAACACUAAAACAUUCACUUUUUAUCUGAAAUUUGUAUUUAAUGUCUUUGUCUUCUUUUUAUAUCUAACCAUCACAGUGGGAAGCUCCCUUUCUCCCCUUAGUUUUGUUUAAUUAUUCCACAGUGGUGAAAAACUUGCUGUCUAGAAAUAUUGAUUCCAUACCAUCAUUCCUUGAAUACAUAGAAAUUAUCACUUAGUUCUCUAAAAUUACAUUGAUGAACUCAACAGGCACUAUUCAGACAAAGCUGUUUUUUUGGCAUUGGGAGAUUCAGGUGUGAGAUAAGGAGAGAAGCUGAGGAAAUGCUGCCUGGGUCAGAAAGCUCUUCAGAGAACAAAGGCAUAUGUCCUGACACUGAAGCCAGAGAGCAAAAAAUAAAAGAAAUUCUCGGGAGAGUGUAGUGCUUACUGUAGACUAUAGUUCAACAUCUGUUCUCUAGAAUUUAGAAAGAUUUGCAUCUACAAGGGCCAUAGAUUCUUAUCCAGGAUGUGGGUUCAUAUAGCAAAUAGUUUCUCAGUGUAUUUUCCAGCCCCAGGAGUCAAUAAUUUGGUGUACUGAAGUAUGGAUAGCUCUGACACUUUUGCAUUGAAUAUCAGAACAAAUAAGUGGUGGCAUAGUCAUAUAGCUUGAUAACAUGCCAUUUAGACUGCCUGGGGGCUGUAGCAAAGCUAAGCACCAGUGAUAAGAAGGUCCUGGUUUAUUUUAUUGUUAUUUCUCCCCAUUGCUGAGGCACCAAUGGUCACUAAGAAAGACAGGUGUCUUGGCUCAAUCACUUGUAACCAUAUAAGCCACAUGUCAAAUGUGAACUUGACAUUUCCUUAUUUCAGUUACUUAUUUUUUCCAAAGAAGAAUAUAAAACUUCACAAUGUGUGUGUGGGGGUGGGGUGGGGGGAAGAAAAUAGCCCUUGAAUGUAAACUAUGGAAAACAAUGCAAUACACUUGAGAUAGGUGACUUUGAGCAUUCCUUGUAAAGAUAGUGUCAACCAACAAUGAAGAAUAACACUGGUGCAAGGGCCACUGUAGAACAGACACAUUCUAAAUACUGUUAGGAAUAACAGGGCUUACACCUCCGUAGUGAUGGAUGCAGCCAUUAUGUCUGUUUUAGGGAGGAGGGAACCGGAAGAGAGGUCCCACAGUUUGCCUAUGGUCACCCAGGAAGGACAAGGUACCCUUUAAUCUGCUUCUAAUGAAACCCUGAUUUCCUGACUUCAUUUGAGUUUGUUCAAUACUACGUUUCUAGGGAGGACUUAAUCAGUUUUUUGAGAAAACAUGGCAUUCAGUCCCAUUUCAAAUUAGGAAGAAUCUUUGGCUCAAUUCCUUUAGUCUCUAAAAGUCCCUUAGCGCCUUUUCUUGGAUAAUUAGUUGCGAACAAUAUCAAUUAUAUCUAAGUGGGCAAAUUGAAUUACUACAGACGAGCGAUUGAUUUUUUUAAUUAUCAUUGAUUGCUCAGUGGUUAUCUCAGUGUAAAGAUUUGUACAUUCUGAAUCUUUAAUUUAAUUGCUUUAUUAAGGAGUGCAAAGGCUGGCACCACAGUGACAGUGAAGUCCCCUCUGGCCCCUUUCCUCCUCAGUGAUGUGGCAAAAGCCUUCGACAUUCACUAAAAGCCAACAGUCAUGAAACAACAUGGAAUCAUAUAUACCUUUAAUUCUUUCUCAUUUUAGGGGAUUUGUGGGAUUCACAAUAUUCUUGGGAAGGAUUUGGGCUUGCCACAGUGACUCUUUUAUCAAAUAUUAAUAUUUUAAUCCUUAAGUCAAAUUUAUAGUAAGUCCAGUUAAAAUAUAGCCAGCAGGGACUGAUGUGAAUUUAAAAGGCCAGAAGCAGUACUCUCCUCUUUAAAUCUGUCUGACCCUCUGCCUUCCAAUAGUGAUAACUAAGUGUGUGGUUCUCCCUCUCCUUCCCCCUUUCUUCCCGUGUAUCCCUCUGCUUCCCUCCUUUCCUCCUCCCCUUCCUCCUUCCCUCCUCCCCUUCCUCCCUCGCUCUCUCCCCUGUCUUUCUCCCCCUCCUUCUCUCUCAUAUUUUAGACAGACUCUCAUUUAGUUCCCCACUAUGUUUUUAAACUUGUCCUCUUACCUCAGUCUCCAUAGUCAAUCGCAUCUGUUCUGCGUUUUCGCCAAAUCUGUAGCUGCGCUUUAAAGUCCUGUGUAUAAAUCUGAGGAACAUUAAUAUCUCUAAAUAUUAAGAUAGCUGAUACUUAUGGGCAACCAAGAUAUUGGCAUUGUUUUGAUGUGGAAAAAUUGUCUAGGACUAACCCUAUUAGUAAUCCAGUCUGCCGAAAGAGGUACCUAGGGACUUACCAGUUUCAAACAACCAUUUGCUAUUUCUCAUAAGCCCAUGAGUCAGGUAAGCAAGUUCUCUAAUGAGUUUUCUCUAGUCUGUGCUACUCUCAGCUGUUCUGAGUUGGGCUUCCUGAAAUCAGCUGGUGAGUGGGCAGGGAAGUGGCCGGUCUAGGAUGGCUCCAGCUGGGACAAUUUGGCUCUUGCCUAUGGUCCUCAUUCCUUAGCAGCUAGCUCAAAGUUUUCAUAGCAAAGGAAGAGUGUUCCCAACACUUUGUGAGACCCAGCCUAUGAACACACACCACUGUAACUACACAACUCCAGCCUCCAAGGCAAGCUCCCAGACAGCUCAAGGAAGCAUGCAGGACAAGACAUUUGACACCUUGAGUGGAGGAACCACAUAAAUACUUUGUAAGGGUGGUGAAUCUUAGCCAUCUUUUCUCCAUCUGUUUACCAUACUAAUUGAGUAACUUACAUACAUUUAAAUUAACUUACACAACUCCUUCCUCGUAAGUAGAUUUGAAAAUUCAAUUUUCAGGUCAUUGUGUUGUUUAUAUUUUUAUGUAUGCCCAUAAAACAUUUACCUAUAUUUACAUUUUUGUGAUUAGCAAUUAUUUGGAAAAUAUUUAAGAUAUAUUUCUAUUUAUUAAAUAUAUUUGCUAUAUGAACAUUUUCACAGGGAACUAAAGUAAUCCUAAGACAUUUUCAAAGGAAUUGUUGGACUUCUGAGGACCAUUUCAUGCUAUUGGUGCCUGUGUUGCGCUGGAAUUGUUACAUGCUUUCUGACUUAGCCUCCAAAUGAGUAGUUCUCAACCCAUGGGUCGUGACCCCCUGGGGGUUGAACAACCCUUUCACAGGGGUUUGCCUUAAACGAUUCUGCAGAUCAAAUACUUACAUUACAACUCACAACAGUAGUGAAAUUAUAGUUAUGAAGUAGCAGCAAAAUAAUUUUAUGUUUGAGGUCACCACAACAUGAGGAACUGUAUUAAAAGGGUCAAAGUCAUAAAGAAGGUUGAGAACCACUGUUCUAAAGAGUCAAAGUAAGUGAAAAAUUGAGACAGUACAAAUAAAAAACCCAGGUCUUCUGUCCCAUCCUGCAAAAUAAGAGGUAUGUUGUGGCUUUGUAUGGUGUUUUAGCUAGAAUGAACUCAUCUAAAUGACAACGUUAAUUUCUGUAACACUAUUGCUCAUGAUUUUGUUUGGAUUUAGGCAUUUGACUGUAUAAUGAGAAACUUCUGGAUGAUUUUUUCCUCAACAGUACCAAAUAUACAUCUUUGUGGAAGAACAGUCUGAUUUUGGCAUGUAGUUGGCAUGUUUAUAUAUGCUGUGUAACCAGAUGGGCUACACCAUCUGGGUAAUUCCAGAGGUUUGGUUGUAAAGUGUGUAUUUAUGGUUAGGAUGUAGAGAUAAGCUAUCUGAAUUACACAUACUCACUUGGCAAUACCCCUAGAUUCCAACAUCCCUUCUCUAUGUUGGAUCAAGUUCAGGAACAAUUUAAAUAUAUUUUCACAACAUUUUCUAAAUGACUGUAUUGUAAUUCAAUGUUAUAUUUGGCAAACUCAACCUAGAACACAGUAGCUAAUGGUGCAAACUGAUUUUAUUUGCAUACCAUUGUUAACCACUUUCAUGUAGUACUUACCCAAUGUGUCAGAUUAUUAUGAUCUAUUUAAUGACUUAAUGGAUGAGAUACAUUGUUCUUAAAUUCAAUUAUACCCUUUGCACCUCUGAAAUCAAGGUCACGUCAGCAUUUCUAUUAUGUAAGUGUCUGGGUUUAGUAGUUUUAAACUAAGCUAUAAAAGAUAGCUUCCAAAUCAAAUUGUAGUAAUAAUGGUCAGUGCCUAAGGGGCCCAAAUUUAAUAUAGAUAUAAUUUUUAUGCAUCCCCUGCUUCCUAAAAUAUCUUUAAGGAAAAAUUCCCUUAUAGUACAUGCAUAGCAGAUGGAAAGGUUUUCAUUUCCCAUUUACUUUAUAAUGCUAGGCUUUCCUGCCUUGUUGAAUGGCAGCCAUAUCUCAGACCAUCUGGCUUUUAAUCUAUACUCCAGUGUUUACUGAUUGCAUCACCUCAGGCUGUUACUUAACAACUUUAUAUCUCACCUAUUAAAUGGACUAUUAACAGUACCUACUUCUUAGAGUUGUAGUGAGGAUUAGUUAAGAUGCUGUGGGUAUGUGUCUGGGAUCCUAUGUAUGAUUUGCACAACAAGAGUUAGUUGUUUUUGUGAUUAGAUAAGAAAUUUCAUGAGUCCAUUGAACAUCAGAAAAACAUCUGGAAAUCCUAGGCUACUGAGGUGAGACUCAGCAUUCUCAGAUGGUUAUGAAAGAGGCUAUAACUAGGUGACAAUCAUCACUGACAUCAGUAAUUCUUCAGAAAUGAAAAUUUUUAUUACUUAUGAAAUGCCGUGAUAUUAAUAGAUUUUCUUGGGAAGAAAUGAAAUUUCCAGUCGUUUUAGUUAAUUUUUUAGCCCUAGUUAAAAUGAUAUUGUUGGUGAAACACUAGACAGCUCUCAUUACCUGCGCAUUAAUCAUGAGAAUAUAGAUACAUUGCCUCACCCCAGGUGUGGGGACAGAGCCACUUUUUCACUGUUUUUUAAGUUAAUCAACAGAUUUUGUACUGAUCCUGUGCUUACUUUGUUCCUAAAAUGCACACAGAUGAAUUCUACCCUCAGAAGUUGGAAAAUGGCUGAUUCAUUGAUAAGUGAACACGUUUUCCCAUGUACUCACAGAAGAAUCACUACCCUUAGCCAUUGCAACUACAUGCUUCCGCAGGGGACAGAUGGCUGUGGGAGGGAUCCCACACUGAAGCAUGACAAAUGUGGCAUACAUGACUGCACAGAUGCUUCAGAUUCCCCCCAAAGUGAGUACAUGUGUUGGAUGUCACAAGCCCUUGGAAUUUUCAGUAAUAAAUAUAUAUAUUAGAAACUUUCAUGUCAACACAUACUGUCAAACCUUGUAAAUUAUAAUUCUUAACUCAAUUACUUGAAUUUCACCUCAAUUAAAAUUCUUCGGUUCAAUUCAGGUUGAUUUUAAUCAUGUUUUCCAUUCUCUGACAUAAUAUGAUGACACUCUACCACUGUGAUCUGUUGUUUUUACCCUGCCAUUUUACAAAUAGAAUCCUAGACUUAGAAAGUCCUGAAGAACUCAGCUUUGUGACUGAGUUUUGACUGUAUGUGAAAUGACUGUUCAUAUGAAUUCUUUUUACUAGAGAGAAAAUAAUCUCCGAGCUUCCCUGGACAAAAGUAGGAGGCAGAGAAUAUACAAACACAGCAAAGGGAUAAGAAACUAGUGAUGUGGAGAAGGUGAAGGAUAAAGCCUUAUAAACUGAAAUAAGAUUAUUUAGGGGAAUCAUCUAAGUAUAGCUAUAAUUCAUCUGAUAUAUAUAUAUAUAUAUAUAUGUAUACAUAUAUAUAUAUAGUGUGUGUGUUUAUUAAUAUUUUGUUUUAUUUUUGCUUAUACCUAAAAGUGUGUGUGUGUGUGUGUGUGUGUAUGUGUGUGUGUGUGUGAGUGUGUGUGUGUGUGUGUGUGUGUGUGUGUGUGUGUGUGUGUGUAUGUGUACACAUGGGUGUAGAUGCUUGCAGAGUUCAGAAUAGAGCAUUGGAUCCCCGGAGUUGGAGUUACAGCAAUUGUGAGACACCUGAUGUAUGUGCUGAGAACCAAACUCAGGUCCUUUGCAAGAGUAGCAUGUGCUCUCUCAGCUUCCCAGCCAUUUCCCCAGCAUGGGAUUCAAAUAUAUUUUUAAAAGUUGAAAAUGAUCUAUAGCAAAGAAUAAGCAAAGUGGAUGUCAUUAAGAAUUCUGCAUAAUAGAUCAGGUCUGACAUUUUCCUAAAAGUCCUUAUUGCUAUUUAAUAAAUUUCAUUUAGCUAUAUUGACUGAAAAAAUGGCCAACAUGAGCAAUCAUAUUUUUUUCUUAAAAUUGGACUGCAGUUAUCAUUCAGCUGGAAAGAAAAAUGCAGUAGAAUUGUACAAUGGAAUUAGAGUGUCAUGUGUCUAACCAAACAGAUGUACAAAAAACUACCCAGGACACCGGUGGAUAAAGUCCAUAAGACAGGCUUUCCUGAGAAUUGGGCUUUUGAUACUACUAGUUCAUUGGCAUAUUAAUGAAGGAGUUAAUAACUAAUCUUAAUAUUUAUUGGUCAAGAGUGAAUCGCUAUCAACCCACUCAGGUUUAGGUAUGGAAUAAGAUUAAUAAUUUUGUCAAAACUAUAGAAUGCAAACUUUCUAGAGGGGUGAUGACUAACUGGACUUUGAAGAUGUCUUUAGUGCUAUAAUAAGAACAUCUGAUGUUGUGUGGGUCCAGAUUAUUAUUUGAAGGACAAGAUAAUUGCAAUGUAAGAGUCAGAGUAAGAUAUAGCCCUAAACUUCCCAAACUCUUCCAACUCAGGUGGUUCUCUGUGGUGGCCCUGGGUUACAGAUACAUACUUCUAAUACUGUACAUUUUCCAUUGUAUUUUAUCAGUUUGCAUACUGUUAGCUUCUGUGUUUGUUAACACAGUAGGAGAUUCUGUGUCUUUUAUAACACUGAGUGUGGAGCUGUGUAUAACAGUGCACAGUGCAUACAUGUGCAUAGCAAUAUAUAAGAAGACAACAUAAUCAUGAUGCUAUGAUGCUUCUAAUUCCAGGGAUGAAUGAGCUGACAGGCAAAACCAAUGUCACAGACCUGAUUUCUGUUUCUCAAAAACACCUUUUGACAGAUCAAGUUAUUUGAGUAUCAUCCAAAGACAAAACCCUAAGAAAUCUUGAAGUUGGAAAAAUCAUCUACUGCAACUCCAGAUGGUAUUUAAUAGAGAAGUAAGAGCCAGUAACUAUUUUAAAAUAAAAAAAAUUAGGGCUGGAGGGAUGGCUUAGUGGUUAAGAACAUUGGCUGCUCUUCCAGAGGACUUGAGUUCAAUUCUCAGUGCUUACAUGGCACAUCACAAUUGUCUGUAACUCAAAUUCCAAUAGAUCUCACAGACAUACAUGCAGGUCAAAUACCAAUGCACAUAAAAUAAAAGUAAAUUAUUAAAAAAUUAAAUUACAUUUAUGUGCAUGCUUGUGUAUAUGCAUGUUUAUGUGUUUGUGUGUAUGUGUAAAGCUUAGAACAUCUACAGCAAAAAGUUAAUAUCAAUCUGUAAGAAGGAUUAUCAAUGCUUUUUAGUGUCUUCUUUGCAAUUUUUUAUGUUUAAUAAUUUUUACAAUGACCAUAUUUUAUUUAUAUAACCAGGAACAAAUGUAUUUAAAUAAAAACCAAAACACAGGCCAUCUCCACAGCAAACCUAGCAAUGAACUCUUAGGUAUUCCAGUUAUAAACACUUAAGUAAUUGGAAAUAGAGGAUACCAUAUAAAGUAGUCACCAGGGGAUUCACUUUGAAUAAAAAGCCCAAGGAGCUUGUUUCAGAUUGUGUCAACUUUCAUGUUACUAAUAUAAUUAAAGCAAGUAAAUCAGGUGGGCAACAUGCCAGUCACCCUUCACACACACGUCACAACUGUCUGCAUGUUCACUCUCUUCACCUUGCUCAAUUUUUACAGUUUUAAUAUGAAUAUCAAUUCUCUUUUUCAUAAACCCAACCUAUAAAUGCCACAACCCCUUGGAGGGAUUUCCUCAGGCUUCAUUUUAAGCUCCAAAGAAAGGAUGUAAAAGAGACUUUUCUUUUGUAAAGUGGUUCUAUAAUUCUGUCCAGUAUCCAUCAUUUUCAAGGCCAAGUAAUCAUAUUUAAUAGAUCCUAAAUUACAUUCUGUCAGGCAAGGAUUCCCUUGAUGAUAUUAACCAGUAUGGAGGGCUGACAGUGGGAGGCCUGCAACUAUGACAUUGUUCUAUGGCGGGCUCACACAUGUUCCUUUGCAGGAGCUGACCCUACGAAGUCUGCGGUGGUGCAGGACCUCAGCCUCCAUCCAUCUUUAGCCUUCCCGGAAUUACCUAUAAACUCCCCCCACCCCCUGAUUUCCUGUCCUAAAAAUCACUUUUAAAAUUUAAUUACUUGGCACAGUUUUGACCCUCUCCUUUGAGGAAAUUACCAUCAUGAAUUUAUUUUUACAAUCUUACUCCCGCAAGACAGCUAGAGGUGUAAGACUACCUACGCUGUGUCCACGGUGAAGAACUGGAAAGAUAAAAGGGUGAAUAAUGGAGGAAGCUAGAGAGAUGCCCUCAUUGCUUGUGCAGUGUUAUAACAGUGUCACGAAGUCCAAGUCUGUGGACAUUUUCUUGACAGGAAGGUAAGGCCAUGGUGCCAGAAACUAUGCACUUCACAGUCAACGCAGGAAAGGGAAGAAUUGUGAACCAGAUUUCCACUAAGGGAAAGUUCUUAUCACUCUGUGUUGGAGCAUCUUUAUGGGGUUAAUGAUUAUUUAUAAUGAGAUUUUUAUAUCUCAAAGGCAUUAGGGAAUAAAGAUAAGAAGAAAUUAAAACCUCACUCUUUUCACAAAUUAAGCACGUUCAAACUUUUCGAGAUUCAGUGAUCAGAAAACUCAAGCACAGGUCUUUCUGUUAGAGCACAUCUUCUUUCAGAAUCCACAUGCUGAGAGCAUGCUGUGUGGCCAGCCUCUGGUGCUUAUGAGCCUCAAUUCUUCUCAUACUUACUCUGUAGACUGUAGAGGGAUUCUUUCCAGUGUUAUACCAUGAUGCCUGCCUGCAAACAAGCCCCUUCACAUUCCUGAAAUCUGAGGAUGGCUUGGACUCUAAGGAUUUGGAAAACAUUUGUUUUUUGAACGAGCUGUCUCACCACACAGAAUUGGUUGUUAUUUGCUCUGGAAAACAGGACUAAUCCAGUUGCUCCAAAUGUCAAGAUAUAUGGAUUUUGAAGCUCUUGUCUAAAGACACUCUUAAAAUACUGAGUGGUACAGCAGGGCCUAUAUAGAAUAAUAAGUGCGAUGAGCCCAAAUUGGAAGAAAAAAUUGUGAGUAUAUAUUUGUUUUUAUAAUCCGAAGGAUAAAAAUUACUUUACACAGAGUGAUGGAUUCUCUCUGGGCGUUUUCUUCUUUCUCUUCCCCCUGUUUAAGUUCUUGUAUUUGUGGCUUUCCUUUGCUCCUCAUCACAUAUAGUUUUCCUUCUACUCAGAGCUAUGCCUUCUCAUUUAUAUUUCACCUUCAUUCUUUUCUGGUUUUUUAAUGUGCCCAAGGAAAAAAUAUAAAAUAAAUCCAGCCUCCAUGCUUUCCCUUUAAAUGUAAUAAAGCACGGGUGCAGAAACAGAAGGCAGGAAUCGCUUGGUUUCCUGAUUGUUUCUUCUGUCUUUGGGCACCAUUGCCUCCUCCUGAGGCUCUUUCUUACUUCCCCUUUCCAAGGAGUCACUUCCUGCUUUCCGAUAAAUCACCCAGGCUAAGAUUUAAAGCAUGCUUCCAUGUUCUGAUACACUACACUAGUUUCAUUUUCAUAUCCUUCUAACCCAAAUUGGUUUCUCAUUGACAGGGCUCAGCUGCUCCCUCUCUCUCUCUCUGCAUGCUGAAUCACCAGAUGGAAAGUCUCAGUCAAACUAGUAUUAUCAUUUAUUUCCACUGUGGAAAUAUUAAGCAGGUUGGAAUUUGGUGAUUUCUUUUGAUUUUUAAAACAAUAAUACUAUUAUUAGAAUAAAAAUAUUUGACAGUUUUUCUGAGAAUGAAUUUGGAUUUCAAGGGGAGAGAUAAUUUAAAAUCCAAUCAUCAGAUCUCCAGUGAACCUCUGUGAUUCACUGCGCUUGUGAGACCACCCCAGUUUCACUUCUGUUUCUAUGAUGGAAUACCCUGAUAAAAGACAACUUGGAGAAGAAAGAGUAUAUUCAGUUUACAAUUCUAGGUUAUAGUCUAUUAUGGAGGAAGCUGAGACAGCAGGGAUCUGAAGCAGCUGGCCACGUCAUAUGCACAGUUAAGAGGAGAGAGAAAUGAAUGCAUGUAUGCUGCCUGCUUGUUGGUGCUCAGCUCCGUUUCUCCAUUCAGCUUAAGACCCCUUGACUAGGAAAUGGUACCACCUACAGUGGGCUGGGUCUUCUACCAUCAAUUAACUUAAUUAAGACAAUCUCCCAACAGACAUGCACACAGGUUAACCCAACAUAGACAAUCCCUCAUUGAGACUUUCAUAUAAGGUGAUUCUAAGUUGUGUCAAGUUAACAAAGAUAAUCAUCACAAGGGUUCCCCUUCUCCAUGCUCUUAUUUUUUUUUAAGAGACUUACCACUCAUGUUUUAAUAGAGUAAUUUUAAACAAACAUUUCUACUUUCAACCCAUUGAACAAACAAUUACAGCUGGUGGUCACAGUUUAAUUUUUAAUUUUUCAGGGAGUUUUUGCUUCUAUUUAAUCUUCACUAAAACACCAGCCAGUAUGUUAGGUACUAUGUUAGGCAUUGGAGUUCAGAUAAAAAUGCUUCUUGACUCUUACUUCAGAGUCUGGGCAGGAAACUAUGGGAACACAGGUAAUGGUAUUGUGAGUGUCAAUAAAUUUAUAUAAAUGGUACUCAGUAUUUUUUUGUUUUUGUUUUUGUUUUUGUUUUUUACAUACAUAAGAUUCUCCCUCCCUUUGUAGCUGUCAACUGCCAAUAGCUCCUCAGUAAAGGGUAGGGCCAAGAGAGCAUCUUUUUUCAUCUGUGCUGGGAUUUUGGCAAGUUUGAUCUUAAUGCUAAAUUGUAUGGGUAACUACAGCUGUUCACAGCACUCCUCAUUGUCCAGCUCUUUCUGUUUCCUCAUCCAUGAUGUUCCUUUUAGCCUUAGUGGCAUGGGAUGUGGGUUAAUUAAUAUUGAUACCCCAUUGCAGGGCUGACCAUCCAGUCUCAUAUUCUCAGCCCUAUGACCAGUUAUGUAUUUCUCUUAUGACUGCUGCCCACUGCAAAAAGAGGCUUCUCUGACCAAAGUUGAGAGUCAUCCAGGUCAAUGGAUAUAUAAAUGAAUAUAUAAUUAAUAUAUACAUAAAUAUAUAGAAGGUAUUCGACAGCAUGACUAUUUAGCAAAAUAACAAUAUAAAGUUUACUCCAGGGCCUAGAACCCAUAAACCAUGGACUGUUGUUUCAUAAAAUUUGCCCCUGUAGCAUGCCUCAUCUCCAACCAGAAAGUGGUUACUACCACAUAACAGGUGUGCCACUAUGGCACCAGUGGAUAUAUCUUGCCUGAGAGGUCAGUGUUGCAGCAUGCAGGGUCUGGGAGUGUUGGGUGAGAGCAUUGAUGUGUUUCCUCCCAAAGCAGCAUAUAAAACAUCUUAUAGCAUUAGGAAAUCUAGCCAUCAGGGAAGCAGUUUCCUAGUAGGUUUGAGAUUGGUUUCUCGAUGUCCUGAAGCUAAAAUGUGUGGUAGCUGAAGACAGAUUAUAUUGAUCUCUUUCUUUCCAGACUCAAGCACAGGGCUCUGACCAUUACAAUCAAUUAUUCUUCAAUGAUAACUUAAAUAAAAUGGAGAUGUCAUACUUGAAGAACAGUUGGAAUUUACACAUGUUCAUGUAUACUAACUCUAAAAGCAAAAUAACAUGUUACCUUUUGUAAGGACUUCAUCUAAAGAGGUUUUUUUUUGUCUUCAGAGCUGUGUUCCGGGUGUAUUAUAAACAAACCAUUCAAAGCCAAUAUUAAUAACCUUAUAUAUGAUGUACCAGUUCAGACGUAGUGCUUGCAUGGUUUCUGGUAGAUGUUUCUUACUCUUCCCUAUUUUUUUUUUUCUGCUUAGAAAUAAACACAAAAGUGGGCCCAAAUCAAGGGGCAUUGAGGAGUCCCACUCCUUUGCUUACCUGGUCUUCCCACGAUGAUCUAGAAUGAGAUUUACUCUUUUUCUCUUCUUUGUAGGGACUGCUCCUUCUGUGGGGACACAAGCAUAUCUGGAUGAUCUGCUGCUGACAAUAUCCUUCACGGACCCAACAAUUAUCCAGUAAAGACCCCUGGGCAGCAGCUGUUCUGUGCCGAUCUAGAGAGUCUCCUGCACUUUUGUCUGCAGGAGUCUGUAUUGUUCUCCUGCCUUUGGGUCAUGGUUUCUUUUAGCCUUUCUUUCUAGACUGACACCUCCAGUCUUAAAGAAACAUCCUUCUGGCUAGAGUCACUUGUGUGGAUUCCUGAUGCACAACACACUCUGAAAAAACUCACCUUUUCUCAUGAUGCCAUUCUUCAUUCUCUGUUGUUUCCCUUUCACUUCUGGCCAAGACAACAGGAGAAGUCUAGGUGGUCUUUUUUAUGGAAAAGGGAAAGGUUCUCUUCAGAAGACAACCAGUCCUUUCAGGGCAACAAAAUGAUGACUAUGUAAGAGGUUUUUUGUUUGUUUUGUUUUUACCUUUGUUUUUUUUUGUUUGUUUGUUUUGUCUUUUUAAAACUCAACUCUAAAAUGCAUAAAGGAGUCGUUUUUGGAUCCAGAGGCCAAAUGUAAUGUGAGAAGCCAGGAUAAAGUCUUAGGAUUCCUUUUAGCCUUUAUUAUCAAACUCUCUUGCAAUCUGUUUCCUGUAAUGAAAAGAAAGCUGCCGUGCUUCCUCCUUGCUCAUCACUGGCUGUGAUUUUGCUGAUCUAUGGUCGAUGCAUAUGUGCACAACUUUAAAUAAGCUAAGGAUGCCAGUUAAGGUACUAAGAAGAAAGAGAAGAGGCACUCACAAGAAUGUAAGGAGGCCACUUGAAAGGAUGUAGGUUAAGUUUAAGGGACUCGGGGAAGAAGAGUAAAGGACCGCAGGACUGGCAAUGGUUGGGGGUGGGCUUCACCAUCCCUAGGCUUCAAGAGGUUGGAAAAGAGAAGUUACUAGAACCCUAAAAUACAGCUGGUGAAGAACUGGACAUAGUAGAGGCUUCCCCUGUCCCAGAGGGGGGUUACCACUGGCAAUCCUUCCUGAUGUUGAGAGCAGUCUCUGACAUCACUAUGACUCCUCUAUCUUCAUCUCUCUUGCCUGUCUCGUCCAAGAUUCUCCUACUACUUGGAUGAAGCCCAAAUUUGGAGGGGAAGGAAGCAGAGAUGGUACAGUGAGCAAAGGUUGGCGUUUCACAGCUUAGAGCAAGAUGACAAGGUCAAGGAGUGCACCUGGAGGGGUGAUGCCAAAGAUACUUGUCUCACUGGGUAAGUGUCCUCAGCUUGGGUCAGUUUUCAAAGUAAGAGAGUUUUCCUGGGGGCAAAUGUACUAUGUUGGUGAAAUCUCCUAAAAGCCUAUAGAACCAAAAUUUCCCACAAUACUAUUUUUCUAAAAUAGCCAAAUCCUAUAGUAAGUAGAGGAUUUCCUACAGUCUUGGGGUCUCCCAGCAUCUUUGGCUUACAGUUUUCUCCCAAAGCUCUUCAGCCUCCAGCAUCAUGAUCGGGCAGAAGUUGCUCUUGUGGUAGCUGCUUAUGCAAAACUAUGGUUUCCUUGGGGCUGUAUUUGUUUGCAUUCCUUUCAGCAGCUGCGGUGAAACCACAAAUCAACCCCCCCUCCUUUGCUGUCUUUCACUAGAGGUGAACUUUCUUUACAAAACAUCUACUUACUGGUGGCCAUAGGAUGCUUCUCUUCUCCCGUCUGGCACUCCCACCCCUACACACCACGACUUCAUCACUCACCUCCUUUCCUUCAAAAUCCACAGAACAAUGACUGCAGAGAAGACAGCUUUGAAGGAAGCAAAUCAUCAAUGUUGUUAUAUAAUCAGUUCUUUAAAGUCCAUGUCAAGUGGCCGUUUUAGACUUCUCUAAAGAAGAGGCUUGGGAGGGUGUGCCUCCUUCUCGGCACGGUGGGGUGGUACAGUUUCUUGCCACAGCUGCUGUAGAAUAAUUACAGCACGACUGUGUGGCCCUCUACAGACAUCUGCUCUGUGAGGGGAACCAAAGCCCUUGCCAGAGGGCUGUCGGCUCCAUGCUGAACACACAUGCCAGGCCUCAGAAAGAGCAUGAUUAAACCCAGGAAGGAGAUUAACACCAGUGCUCACCCCUUGUUAGGGACCAAGGUGAGAAGUGCUUUGGAACCUGCCCUCACACUCCCUUGCAGAGGUAAGUUUUGAAAACCUGAGCCACACUGUGAAACCAAGAGUUUCUGCAUCAUGUGCUGAACAGCAUGUUUGCUGUGGGGGCCUGGGAAAGGUGUUGACUGUGAUGUGACAAUCCCUUAGGAAUGUAGUGACAGCAUCACGUCCUUUUUUACCAGGUUCCUGGGGCAUAUCUUUCUGUCCCACAGAGCCCUGUGCAUGGUGGGACAGCUGAGGGCCAAGUGCAGUAAUGGAUGCCAGAGUUUCUGUAGACUGUAAAGCACGCCCCCCCACAACACUCUGAUCGCAUCAGCCUUUGUUGAUGGACAAGCUUUGCCAAGAGCCCCCAGGGAGCUUCAGAAAACAGAAGAAAAUUAUAAAGAUUAAUUUCAUACUUUAGAUAAAAUUUAAAUUCAUUUAUCUGUAAUUUAAUAUGUUAAACAUAUUUAAAGUAUCUUAGAAAUCCACUGAACUUUGCACUGAAUACCUUAUAUAAUUUUUAAUCCUUCUAAGAAUCCUAUGAAAGAGUCAUUAUCCCCACCACCCCCAGAGUCCAUUUCCUUAAUGUGAGAGUCCUGUUCUCUCUUGGUAGUGACUCACAGCUAAUGAAAGUAGAUGGGGCAGUGUAAAUUGCCAGGGCUGGCUCUCUAGAAUGGGCCUGCUGUUUUGUACAUCUACAUAAAUCCUACAGGACGAGGUGCUCAAACUUCUUUAUUCAGGGCUGGAAAGAGCCACACAGAGCUGGAAGACAUACUCCAGCAUCCAAAAUAGUCAGAGAAGUGGGGGCUCAACUCUACUGAAGAACACACAGUACAAGUUCAUAUACUUUCCCUGGGAAACAAGAAAGUUUAUAGAUAGUGUCAAAAUACCUCUAUUUUUUAAUAUCAAAUGUGUUAUAUUUGUCAUAAAAUCAUAUGAUAUAUAAAAAAUAUCACAUAUUUACAUAGGUUAAAAUAAUUUUAAAGCACAUUUUUGUAUUUACAGUCUCUCCCUUUAUUACUACAUUUUCAUUUAAUGGUCUUUGUGUAUGCAUAUAGUGUAUGUGUAUGCAUGCACAUGUAUGUGGGUAAACUUGCCCAUGUGUGUAUCUGUAGAGAUCAGAGGUUGACACUGAUGUCUUCCUCUACUACUUUCUAUUUUAAUUUUUGAGAUGAGGUCUAUUUCUCAACUUCGAGCUCCCUGUUUAUGUUAGGCUGUCCAGCCAGGCAGGGCCCUGUGGAUCCACCUAUCUCUACAGAACCCCCUCAUACAGACACAGUGUCACACCCAGCUUCUCCAUGAGUUCAGGGAAUCAGAACUCAGGUCUUCCUUCUUUUGCCACAAGCACUUGGUCUACUAUGCCAUCUCUCCAGUCUCCUCAUUUCGUUUUGUUUGUUCUCAAGAAUGAAAGUUUCCAAAGCAUUUGUCUUUUACUUUCCAUUGAGUUAAAUGUAUUUAUUUUAAAGUGAAAGGACAGUUCACCUUUUUACCAACUCAACCUGUAUUUAUCAGAUUCAUUAACGUCCAUAGAUUACCCAUGAUGCUUUGGUAUCCAAGAGAAACUAUUCAUCAAGGGGUAUUGUUCCUUCAAGAUGUGCUUAUAGAAUCGGAAACAAGAUUUGUUUUCACUCCCUGAUAGUGGAUAAAUUCGAAUUACACUAGCUAAAGAAGAAAUUUCUCUUUAUUCGUCAAAUGGAAGUGCUCAGAGAUUUCAAAGAAAUCAAUUUUCUAGUUUUUGAGUCCUCUUAUCCAUAAGUACAAUACUGUUUGAUGGCAUUGUCAUCCUCGUGAGGCAGUAACGAAAACUGCAGCAUUUCUCCCUAAAUGUUCUUGAAACGACUUGGUGGACAGAUAGAUUCUAAGUCUGGCUCAAAGCUUUAUUGCAAACUAACCACGGGGGUGAGGCCUUUAUGUGCACCACUUCGGGAUUCUCUGUGGGGAUCCAGUAGGAAAAGUGAAUGUUAAUCUUUGUUAAACUGGCUACAAGAAAAAAUACUGUCGGCUUAAAGGCUAUUAGGCUGGCCAGCCAGCUGGGUGGGUAACCCUGGCUUCCCAGAAGUCCUUAAUCUCAUUUAGAUCCAUCAGAAGUGUGUUCAAGCUUUCAAACAGCAAUGCCAAUUACUUCCCAGAGGAGCUGGUGAAUUAUACCACAUAAAAAGUUUGGCCCUGAGACCAGGUAGAGAACAAUUUUUGUUCUCUGUGUGAUUAUAACUUAUGUCAAAAGGUAUCAUCCAUUUUGGGGGUUUUUAAAUAAUAAUUUUAAUCUAACAUUUGAUUUAAGGUGGCUUGCCCUUCUGAAAUAAAGCUAUGAAAUGCUUAAAAGUAUCUUCCAAACUUUCUGCUUCUUGACAGAAAUGCAGUAGUUUUGAGGAGUUGGCGCUAACAUGAACUAAUUUCCAAACAAACCCCCAGAGUCCCCUGGCAGUUACAGGAAACACAUAGUAAAGUGUACCAUGGGCAGACAGUAAGCAUCAUCUAGGCUGGGAGGAACACUAAAGUGUCUUAAUCCUAAUUCCUUCAACAAGCAAACUACAAAGAGUGGGAGGAAAGGAGAAGGGGGAGGAAGAGAGACAGCGCCUAGAUUAACACUUGAAAAUCUUGCCACUCAAUUAUGGUAUGUGGAUUUAUUUGGAUCCAUAUUCUAACAAAUACAUUAUGAAAAGAAAACUAGGCUGUUCAUAAAGCAGCUGAAAAUUAGUGCUCUCAUUGAUUAUUUCACAUUAAUAGUUUGUUGCUUAUUUUUAAAAUGUAGUGAUGCUGGGUUUGUGUGUAAAGAGCCAGUUUUUGUAUUUAAACUAUAGGUAUACAAUGAAAAAUAUGCAGAUGAAAUGAUACGUUGUCUGAGUUUUCUUCAAAAUGAUAUUUGAGGGAGAGAAGUGGGUUGGAAUAAUGAUGAAUCCUAAUCAGCCUGAAUUGGCAAUUACUGAAGUUGGGUUAUGAAUGUUUGAGAGGUAUUUAUCUAUUUAUUUAUUUAUUUAUUUAUUUAUUCAUUCAUUCAUUCAUUCAGUUUUACAAGUCUGCCUGCAUUUAUAUUUGCUAGAAACCCUCAAUAGAAAAUCUAAACAAAACUAGACCAUCAGAAAUGAGUCUUUGGGCUGUUGGUAACUUCACUGGUUCUCUGCCCAAUUGUUUUAGAGCUGGCAGCCCCAUGAGGCCUGGUCACAAAAAGCAGGUGCCACAGAAUCAACCCCCACUGCAGUCCACAUGCAGAUGUCAUGCUAGCAGGUAGUGUAAAGUAACUGUAUCCUUUGGAGCACAGCGUAAAGAAAGAAAGCAAUCAUAAUGAGGCACAAAGAAACACCCCCAGCUCAUGUGUUGCUGGGGGAAGGGGGCAUUUAUCUUUCUUUUGGAAAUAAAAACUCGAUGGUAUUUGUUAACUGUGGAUAGGAAGGAGAGGGAUAAUUAGAAAAGAACAUGGUCCCACAUUUGUCUGAGAGCAGAAUAGUUCUUCCACAGGCUGAACCAUAUCAGGGCCUCUUCUGGGAAGAAGUCAGCAGUUCCUUAGUACUGCCCAGAUGUUACUGAGGACCAGAGCCACAGCUUCCACAGGCCAUAGUGAUUCAUUGCUCUUCUUGGGUUCUUUCUGAUAACAUCUCCUUUGCAGUCUCUUCUUCCCCCCUUUCCUUUUCUUCUCCAUAGAUGUUUGGCUAAAGAGAGAAUUCAUUGUUUUGGCUUACUCAGAGGUCUGAAAUAAGACUCUGGAAUUUCUUACAAUCAAUUUUUCUGAUGACUUAUUUUUUCCCCCAUAGCCAAGACACCAUAAAAGCUCACCACUCACGAUAAAAGCAUGAGGUCCUAAUUUUAGUAGCCCCGGGGAGAUGAUGGCAGAGAGAAAGGAAUACAGAGGGCUAGGGCCCAGUGAGAAGGCGAGGCUGGGGUUUAGAGGAACACGGCAAAGGGAGUUGCUGUGCUUGGCUGUCGAUGUAGGAUCCUUUCUUGAUCUGUCUCCUUUUUGUUCCAUUCCUUCAUCUUCCAGAUAGAUGACAUCUCUGUUCCUGUACUUGUGUCCCUUACAGCCUCUUACUCUUUUAUAUCCACAUUUACUUCAUCUACAAGUCCUGCUGGUGACAUUCAAUAUCAGUCAUAACCCAAUGACUCCUUACUACUGCCGUAACCAGAACACUGUUUCAGCCACCAACUCUGGCUCAGGUGACUAUAACAGUUUCCAAAUCCGUCUUCCACCCUUGACUCCUUUAGUCUCUUCUCAACUGAAGAGCCAAACAAUCCCUCAACAACACAAGUUAGAAUCUCUCUCUUCUCUUUGCUCAGGAGCACGGAAUGUCUUUCCAGUUUACUCCAAGCAAGAGCUAACACUGUCCUGCUGGGCUACGGGCUUGCACAGCCUACUUCCCUUGCCCAGUGUGCCUCUCUUCAGCUUUCUCUUCACUCAUUCCCACUGCAGUCACCCAAUUCACAAGACUGAGCAUUGACUGCUCCCUCUGUCUGUGUUCCUGCCCUCCACACAGGGCCAUGGCUCCUUCCACCACUCCAACAUCUCCUUUACAACUUAGAGUUAAAGCUUCCCAGUGGAGUCAUUUUGGCUCCUCUAUUUAAGCAAUUACCACCUUCCCUUGAGCCCUCUGUGCCCCCCUUCUCUGCUUCUCUCUGUGCUUGCUUGUUACCAAACACAGUGCACAGCAUUUUAUUUAUUGUCCUUGUCCCAAGUGGUUCCCCUGGGGCUUAGGCAGAGAUUUCAUUUCUUUUGUUUGCUGGGAAAUCCCCAAAGCUUCAAAAAUAUUUGUUCCGGCAGUGAAUAAAUUCCUCAAACUUUAAUAAUUCCUGGCAUUCAGAACACUCUUGGGUGAGUGGUGCUUCGGGUGAAUGGAACAAAGUGUCUGUGUGCUGGAGAGACAGCCGCUGGUUUUGAGCAAGGACAUGGUGAACUAAUCCUAAGAGAUUAGUGGAAACAGACAUUUACACAGGUGACAGUGGGACCGAAGCUGCUGGGAAGACUUAGGUAGCCUUCUUAGCCUGCCAUACAGCUUGCACUGUUUUAUUUGGGGACUAGAGUAAUAAGGAUGGUCAUCGAAGUUCAGAACUACUCAGGGGCAUUUGGUUACUUUAAAAAUUGAAAUUGUAUUUUGAGAAGCAAGAAACAUGUAAAAAUUCUGGAUAUUAAUACAUCUUGUAUUUUUGUAUCUCAUUCAUGGGAUAUAUUUAAGUAUUUGAAUUAGACAAUUGAGCUCCUAAGUGUGGGGAGCAGAUGAGUCCUGAGUGAAUGUAUAGUGUUGACAUAAGCAUAGUCAUGUCAAGGAUGCCAGUACCUCAGACCCAUAAGAAUGGCAAAGCCUUCCUUCCCCUGGUCUGAGUACAGACAUCGACAAACAGUUGAACUUUAUCUAAAAACAGUAUGUGAAGAAAGUACCAGCAGAUUUUUCAUCUUGGAAGACUGAAGCCUGAGAUCACUCUCCUAAAGAGAUCCCCUCCCUACUGAGAUUAGCUGACCCAUCUUAUCCUAGUUAGGGCUGUGUAUUGUGUAUAACAAUGCCCUGAGUUUAUGGGCUGUUGCUGGUACAUCUCCAUCUGAAUUCACAGCCCCCUUCCCAGGUUUACAUUACUUGUGUCUGUCAUUUCUUCAUUCUUCAUCAUCCCAGUCAGCUCAAGUACAAAGUCACACGGGCCAUGACACCUAAGUAGCUUAAACAGGGCCGAGAAAAAUCAGCUCUUUAGCCCAGACACCUUUAUCAUAAGCAGUUACCAGUUGAAACUGGAGGCUGAGGAAGGUGUGGGCAGUGUCAGGUCUUACCCUGUGCUUUGGCCACUUCUUUAGGAGUCACAAAGAAACGGAGCCAGUGAGGAGGUAAGAGUGAAGGCUGAGGAGGCUGAGCACACAAUCCCUAGGUUAAUGCUCAUUUCUAUGUUGACCCAAUUGGACCAGACUAUAGCAGAUGUCAUGGAAAUGGUUAGUCUAAUUGCACUGAGAUAAAGAUACCAUUUAUGUGGGAAGAAAAACACAUCUAAUGUUUUGUGGAAACAACUUAUAAUCCCUGUCUUUAUCCAGGCCAUUUUGUUAAUCAUCCUAUGAUCAAGACAACAUCUGUAAGCCCUCUUCCUGUCUCCCAUUCUAGUAAUCUUUCAUCCCAUGGACUGCCAUUUUUCAGGAAGCUUGCUGCUCCAACUGCUCUACAUCUUUUGAGUCUUCUUUGAAGUUUAUUUUUGUUUUGUAUAAAAGUAUUGAGGUCCUUAUUCUCUCGGUCCAGCGAUGCUUUCUCGGUCCAGCGAUGCUGCUGAGGAAACCUAACAAUGGGUGCAGAAGAGAAAAGACUUCAUUGACUGUUUUUUUGUUGCUGUCAGAGAAACAGACAUCCAUGUUAGGAUAAUGUGGUUGUAUGGCUUAGAUAGCACAGAGGGAAAGCCCAAGCUCAUCCUCCAGGGAUUUUGCCAAGUUCUCAUAAUUCUCAGAAGGUGUCUGAGGACCAUAUAUACUCAAGAGAACAUUGGCAAUAAUGGUUAUGUGGAUGGAAAGUGUGUAACAUGUGAGACAUGUGCCACCCGUGUGCCUUUGCGUUUCAUUCUGUACAUCAUGGGAGGCCAAUGGAAAGAAAAAUCACAAUCACACUAUAGAUGAGGACAGCACUGGUCUGGAACCCAAAUCAGUUAGGAGGCAGAACUCUAGCAAGAAAACCAGCCAGGGUGGAGUUGAGGCUUCUUGGUAUCAAAGGAGCUUCUGAGCUCUGCUAAGCCUCAGCAGAAACAAGAGACCAUGUGUAAGUAACACACCAGCAAACCAAGAAGGCAAGUGUAAGUAGUGAACAAAUUACAAUGUCUUACAGAGCAGGGAGUUAAAGGUUCAUGAUCUGUGAGGCUCCUGACCCCGUGCGCCAUAAAAUUGCUAUGUUUCAUGGCAAACCACCCAUACCACAUGCAUUUUUAUAUUCAGAAGACACCUAGAAGAAGAUCCUAAGAGCAAGGCAGCAGAAGCCUAUGAAAUCACCACGUUUCAUCCAGAGAUACAGAGCACUAAAUAAAGGGACUCCAAAUGGUUGCUUUGGACUAGUUUUAAACUAGAUCAGUCCUAAAUUAUUUUUCCCUUUGCUAUUCAGCAUUCAGGGACUCUAAGAACAUCUGUCUUAUAUAUCUCAAACUACCAAUCUUCAGUGUUCACUUAUCUGGUAAAAAAAAAAAAGGAGUAUCGAAGAAUGUGUAUAGUUGGUUCUAAAUUGAGGAUUUAUACAAAUCUCUAAUAAAAACAUUUGGGAAACAAUGACAUCUGCAUUGAACAUGUGCAGAUAUUUUUCUUGUCAUUACUCUAAACAACAUAGUAUAAAUAACCAUUUGUACAAUAUUCUUAAUAUAUUCGGUAUUUCAAGUAAUCUAGGAGUGACUUGAAGCACAUGAGAGGUUGUAUAUAGGUUACAUGAAAAUAUUCCAUCAUUUACAUAAGGAACUAGAGCAUCCAUGGAUUUUAGAUCCCUUAUACAUAAUGAAUCUGGUCCUAUGGACAGUGGGGAAGAAAUAUGAAUCACUGAUUAUAUACAACACCACUGGGUCAAAUCAGAGCAGCCCUUACAAACUUCUUACCAUUUUAGUAUAGUGGAGAGAGAGUGGGCUUUCUGUCUCAGACUGAUCUACAUUUGGACCUGGCUCUUCUUCCUCCCUAUGGGCGUUUGGGUGAAUUAACUCACAUCUUUGAGGCAUGGCAGUCCGCAAAUGGAUUUAAUGAAUCCCAAAGGACUACUCUGAAAUUAACUGGCAUCUCAAUGCAGAGUGCCCUGGGUAGGGCUUGUUACAGCACUAGAAUAUAGCAACAAAUGCUCAAGCAAACAUCAGUUUAUUUUCUCAUACCAAGGAAUAUGAACACUGAUCAACAAAUGAUAAACUGUUUCCCAAGUUGACUUAGUGUUUGGUAGAAUACCCAAAUUAAAGUAUUGACAUUUAAGGAAGACAUAUUAAUUUUAUUUUAAUUCUAGUUGCAUUUAUAGCUUACAUAUAGGAUGUCUUUGUGAAUCUUCAUUUGUAACUAGAUAAGGCUAAUGGUCCAAAACGAGUUGUAUGGUUAGUGCUAAUGACGAAUCCUAAACCACAGGUUCUGUGCCUGGGAAAGGACUGGUCAUUUGGCUCACCCACUUGAUUCUGCAUGUCUCUAUCACAUGGAGAGAGCAUGAGGUAGUCCUUAAAUUUGACCCUUCAAAUGCAUCUACUCUCCAUGUUGUGGUUGGGGUAUGACCAAAGGGCAAGGGAUUCUGAGUAGAACAGCCAAGUCCUUAGGGUCAUUCAGAUGCCCUGAUGACUCAGCCAGGAUGGGCUUGAAGGGUGACAUCUGCUUGAAGCUGUGCUGGGGGCAUGUUUAAAGGGAGCCAUUCUUUUCUAGAAGAUAUGAUAUAUCUUGAAUGACUGAAUUGGGCAACAAGCAUGUGAGAGAAAUUCUGCCAUAUCUUGUUGAUUGAGAAAGCCGGCCAACAAAUCCCUUUUGUUUCAACUGGUCCAAGCAACUCAAAGAGAAAGAAAGGGCCAUUGGAUAGUUGAGAGAAACAGAUUCAAUAAAUUGUAUAUUCAACUUCUAAAUUUAUUUUUAUUAUUUUAUAUGUUCGGAUGUUUUUUCCUGAAUGUAUGUCUGUGUGCCAUGCAUGUGCCUGGUGCCCACAGAGGCCAGAAGAAAGUAUUGGAUUCCCUGGAACUGGAGUUAUAGAUGGUCUUAAGCUGUCACGUGGGCACUGAUAAUCAAACCUGGUUUCUCCGGAAGAAUAGCCAAGACUCUUAACACUGAGCCAUCUUUCUAGCCUCUAAAUUCCAGAAGUGGACAGUAUGCUAGUGAACUGGCUGACUGCAAAGGAGGGGGACCACCUGAACCCUACGCUUCUCUCUGCAAUCUACAGCAGUCAAAGGGUGCCACUCUGGACAGAAAAUGGAGUGUCUCUCUGCUGUUUAUUAUUAUUUCUUGAAAGUUUUGAACAACAUGGCAAAAGAUCUGACAAGGUUUUGCUCCAGAUGCACAGAAUUUCCUAGAAGAAAUAAGAGUGAAAACGCUUCCCGGCCAUCUGUCCUGAUCUCACACUGCACUUUCAGAAUUUCUCUCUGGUUCUCAUCCUGCAGAGGCACAUCCUGACAGACUGCAGACAAGUCUCCCCGCUGAUUAAAUCAAAAGGCAACAAGAGAAUCACUCAAAAUAGGGCUGGGCAGGACCGAGGACUGAAGGAGCAAGAACGAGAUGCUAAUUCUACCCAACCAACAGCUCAGGAGGUACAGAGAGGAAAAAAAGAGGAAAAGUAAAUGACCUACUAACAGUGUUUCAUCUUGGUCUAUUUUCAGAAGCUUGUAGAAUUUAAAACAAGAUGCUUUGAAAAUAUAGAAUGUACUUUAUUAAAAAAAAUAGACUACUAGCUGGUUAUCAUGUACCCAUUUAGCACAAUCCCUAUUUUUCAGAGGCAAAGGGUUAACAGCACAGAUGAACUAAACCCUCACAUACCCAAAACAAAGAUUUCAUUUGCUCUUUAGUCUUAUUUUUCCCCCCAACCACGCUGUAAGGAAGAAAACCACGUCAAUUUAAAUUUUAGCAUCUCUUCUUUCUGUAUGUUUGAAUUUAAGCAUCUCUUCCUCCUGUAUGUUUAAUGAGUUUAUGAAUAACUAUUAGCCAAAACAAGGAAAGGGAGGAUCACAGAGGUCUGGUAAAUAGUCUCCAUUGGUGAAGUAAAACAUGAGAGAGAGAGAGAGAGAGAGAGAGAGAGAGAGAGAGAGAGAGAGAGAGAGAGAGAGAGAGAGAGAGAGAGAGAGAGAGAGAUAGAGAUAGAGUGAGUUCUGAAAGGGUCUACGAAGUGAUUCAGAAUUGACUAGUACCUUAUCAAACCCACCACAAACCCUUUAGUGUAAUAGUGGGGAAUUCAGGGAAUCCACUUUUCAAGAAUGGAGCAUGCACAGAGACAGAAGCCACCAAGGGACAAUUGCAUUGAUUCCUCAUAGAAGACAAUGAAAAUCACCAGGAAGUAUUAUUUCUUCCCAGAUGGUUUUCCUGUGCCGUCAGUGAGAGCCUGAGACACUUUGAGUUGAUUUUGUUCCUUAAAAUCUUACAGUAAAUGACUCUGAUCCUAACUCCCUUUGUUUUUUCUACUGCUGUUCGCUCUUUUCUAGGAUAGAAAAACAGCAACCAAUUCAGGAAAAGGUAACAAGGAGGAGAAUGUGGUUAAGGAAGCUGGAUGGCUUCUCCUCUCACACCCUUUUGCAGUUAUUUUUAUUUCACAAUAUCAGAGUUUGCAGAAUGAAUGUAGACUCUUCAGGAUCUUUACAAAAUAGACAUUUUUUCCUACCAACCAUUACAAUUCAACUAUGAACCAUUUUUUUACCCCUGGAAAUCAAUACAUGUGUAUUUCAGGUCCUUGUCCAAGGAUGAUGUUUGUUAAAUAAUCAUAUCAAGUUCCUUGCUGUAUAGGCAGGUUCUGUCUCCUGAUUUCAAUAAAAAGGGUGCAUGCCUUUCUUAUUCCAAAAGAUAGUUAUUCUGCAAUAGACAGAAGAAAAUGAUUUGUAAUAGGGAAACAGAAAAUCAUUGUUUCUUCUGGGCUGGCACUUUGUCUAGAGUUUAUCUUUAAAGGGUGAAUUGGUGGUUUAUACCUUCCUGAUUUUUUCCUUUGGCCUCACACAUGUUGUUCCUCUUCUGUAAAAAAAGAAUAUGUUGUGACAAGCCACAAAAAGAAUAGAAUUGAUCCAUGGCAAGAGUAUUUUAGAACACCUCCCCUUGCCUCAUUAGUUGUAAAGGCAAAAAGGCCUGCUUUUAAAGAUGAGAGUGAGGUCAAAGCUUAGAGAAGUUUGCUCUACCCAUUUGGAAUAAAGAUAAGAUAAUUCAUUAGUAGGAGAACUUGAAAAUGUUCAAUAAAGCAUUGUUUUCAA
Peromyscus californicus insignis is the source of this 31212-nucleotide long non-coding RNA. RefSeq lists it as uncharacterized. The transcript is spliced from 6 exons. The record is from RefSeq and is a predicted model, not a curated record. NCBI's taxonomy places the organism in Eukaryota, Metazoa, Chordata, Mammalia, Rodentia, Cricetidae.